This 1216-nucleotide long non-coding RNA is filed under the name Androctonus crassicauda. Lineage: Eukaryota; Metazoa; Arthropoda; Arachnida; Scorpiones; Buthidae. The record is from RNAcentral.
ACCUAUAUACAGUACUUGUUGUUGGGUCUCUAGGUCUACCACUGGUAUCUUGUAGACCCCUUGUUUCUCCUUAUCUUUCCUGGGAUCCUUUUCAUUCCUUAGCAUGUUAAAUAUUAUUUGUCUUCUCUGAAAUGUCAGUUUUUUGUUUGCUUUCCUGCCUACUUUAUUUUCAAAAUUAAAUUUUUUAAAACUAUAUGGCACAGUUAGAUACCAUUCCUGCUGAGAUGGCUGUUGCAGUACCUAUGCAUUGUUAUCAGCUUUUUUGCAAAGGUUCUUCUGUAUGGCGCUAAGGAUGUUUAAUAAAAUGGUUUUCCAUAGCCAUGCUGCUGACCAAUACUUAGAAUGUAAUCUACCUCCUAUUUCAAAGCAUUAGGCUUUGUAUUCUACAAUAUAGCCCUCCUGAAAAAUACCUAAAGGUUGCUUUCUUAUACAUCAGAGGAUCUUGGGACCAAUUGGGUAUCGGGACUGGUUCAUAUGUGGAUUUCCUGAAUACUGAUGUCUUCAGCCUUCCAUUAUCUAUGGUUAUUUUGAUGUCCAAGAUAGGACAUCAAAAUAAUCAUAUUUGUUCAAUUUUUAGUGUGAGACUAUAUAUGUCUAGAGUAAGGGCCUUGAUAAAAUCCUGUAAUCUUGCACUAUCCUUCCAUAUGGUCAUAAUGCUGCCUAUAUACUUCACAUAGAAUCUCAAGGCUGGCUUGAAAGUGUGUACUAUUUGAUAUUCUAUAUUUCUAAAAACUAUCUCUGCCGAUGAGCCUGCUAUUGGGCUUCCUAUUGGAACACCUCUAGUUGGUCCUUAAAUUUGUAAUACAAUUUAUAGCAAUUAGAUAGGCUAUUUUCCUUAGUAAGGUACACUUUCUUGGGCUUCUGAGAUGUUCUCUAAUAGAAACCUAUAUAGGAAUAUAGAACACUAUAGAACACUAUGCAGGUUGGCUUGAGACGUAGGAACGGGUACAGGCUGUCGAUGUUACCAGUAUGUCUCCUUGGUCCCAUUCAAUGCUUUGUAUCUUUGUCAAGACAUUUGCUGUUACAAUUGUCGAAUUAUCCGUUUCUUUUAGAAUUGAUGUGCACCAUCAGGUUAUAACUUUUUCUAAGUUGUAUGUAGGUGCCGACCUUUUUUUCAACUAUUGGCCUUCCAGUCAAUGGGCUUUUAUGGAUUUUUAUUUUUGUACCAUAAUUUAAUUUCGUUUCAUUGUGUUUUGGUGUUGCUUCUAUGUUGAUG